CAAAAGUUUUCUUUCCAUUUAUCCCUCUUAAGUUUCCAGACUUAAGCAAGAGUAUGUGAAGAGUAGUGAGGGUUGCUACCUAUCUUGGAAAAAAACACAGGCCUUACUAAUUUGCAAAACUAAUUAUGUAUGCAUGACUUCACAUGAUGUAAAUCACAAGGAGUAACAUUAGUGAAAAUUCUGUAAAAUCAUCAAAAACCUACACAGUUUGAUUAUGCUGUAU
Molecule: non-coding RNA, 223 nt
Organism: Pelobates cultripes (western spadefoot toad)
Lineage: Eukaryota; Metazoa; Chordata; Amphibia; Anura; Pelobatidae
Source: the annotation of a GenBank genome assembly